AACGAACGCUGGCGGCAGGCUUAACACAUGCAAGUCGAACGGGUGUAGCAAUACAUCAGUGGCAGACGGGUGAGUAACACGUGGGAACCUUCCUAGAGGUACGGAACAACUCAGGGAAACUUGAGCUAAUACCGUAUACGCUCUUGCGAGGAAAGAUUUAUCGCCUUUAGACGGGCCCGCGUCGGAUUAGCUAGUUGGUGGGGUAACGCCUACCAAGGCGACGAUCCGUAGCUGAUCUGAGAGGAUGAUCAGCCACACUGGGACUGAGACACGGCCCAGACUCCUACGGGAGGCAGCAGUGGGGAAUCUUGGACAAUGGGCGCAAGCCUGAUCCAGCCAUGCCGCGUGAGUGAAGAAAGGGCCUCGGUUGGUUAAGGUACGUAC
Molecule: ribosomal RNA, 384 nt
Filed under: uncultured bacterium
Lineage: Bacteria
Description: bacterial SSU rRNA
Rfam family: Bacterial small subunit ribosomal RNA
Source: RNAcentral